GCUGAUGACUUUCCCAUACAAGUUACUUUGAAGAAGCUCCGGGAUGCAGAGUUCUUUCAAGAAAUUUGCUCCUGGAUUUCAGUUAGUUGUAAAAGGAGGUCUGUUAUUGCAUUAACUGUCUCCUUUUGUUGUCUAAGAUGCUGUGUUCCUCUUGUUGGUUUCUACAAACUAGAUAUAGAUGUUUUGGGAAUUCAGAGAUGGUUUUUCUUCCAUUAUAAGUAUUCUCUACCCUUGUGUUUUCCUGGUAAUGCAUUUUCUCUAUACAAUUAUAAAUAUUGAGUCUGUUAGGUUAUAUUGUAUUUCUGUUCUCAGUAAUU
This 317-nucleotide long non-coding RNA is filed under the name Populus trichocarpa (black cottonwood). Its description in RNAcentral is "long non-coding RNA (PTRI_LNC001351)". The record is from RNAcentral. Lineage: Eukaryota; Viridiplantae; Streptophyta; Magnoliopsida; Malpighiales; Salicaceae.